Molecule: long non-coding RNA, 1222 nt
Filed under: Homo sapiens (human)
Lineage: Eukaryota; Metazoa; Chordata; Mammalia; Primates; Hominidae
Description: non-protein coding PCF11-AS1:21
Source: RNAcentral
ACUUCCGGUUUCCUUUCCCUCAGCUAUUCCAUGGCUUUUCGUGUGGACAAAUCGGGAGGUGGUGUAAACUGGUUUUUGGUGAAAUUCGGCUCGGCCUCAUGCGAACCUAUCUAGGUCCGUCUCUGGAGUGGCCUGUCAUCGAUCGCGCCCUCCAUCGCUGAGCGACACAAGUGGAACCCCCCAGGACUGCAUUCUGCGUAGGUGACCUGUGUGGCGCGGGCCGGGCGGGGCCUUUUUGUCCUUGGGCAAACGUGGUAUACUUUCUCAGUGGUGGUUGGAAGGAAAUUUGUUGCCCUGUCAUUUCGCAAGUAUGGAAAAAGACCUAAAGGAGAAUUUAGCAGCUGCAGCCGCUGUUUUUAUUGCGUACUUUACUAGCGCCAACUCUUUAAUAAUCGCUUGUUAGUUGUUACCCCUGUUUUAUGGGUCAAGAGACUCAAUAUAUCAGUACUUUGGUAAGGCCAGGCAGCAGGUAAGUUGUAAAACCAGUAAAAAAACACAGGUCAUUAGUCAAAAGAGUGCUUCAGGUCUCCUGACUCCAAAUCCGAGAAUCCUUUCACUGUAGCAUGUUUACUGCUCAAAUAUUUCUACAACCCUAUUGCUUAACAACAGGAAUGAAUUAUUUCACCAUUUGUUGCAAACGUAUGGGUCACGUUUUGUGCCAGCAGCAGAAAAUACAGAAAUUAGUAAGAAUUACCUGCCCUCCAGGGGCAUCACCAACCUGGAUUCCCCUCUCGGCCCAGUUUUUCCACCCUUAUUGCCUUCUCCCUUCAGGAAUAAUGAACUCGUCCUGGAAGCGUACCUUACUUUUUAAUAUCUCUGCCUUGUCAUGUGCUGUUCGUCUUACCAGGAAACUACCCUGCUUUUCCCCCAGUUUUGGUCUGUGAACACAUUUGGGAAAUUCUUCUGAUCCUACCGCUACUCUCUUGAGAGAGAGAAACAAGGGAAAAAAAAGUUAAUUGCCUGAGGAUAUACUGCUAGUGUUGCGGGACAAAUAGAGACGGGAGAGGCCAAACAGAAUUCAGGACAACCCUUUAUUAUUAAGCGCGCUAGGGAGGGAAGCAGGAACUCGUGGUGCCUCAAGGAACGUGAAACGGUGGAACACAGAUAAGCCUCUCCAUGAAGAAACAGCUCAGAUUUGACCAAGAUCACACAAGUAGGAGUUGAGGAAUUGGAACCCACUAUGACUGACUCCAAAUUAAUAUAGUGUUUAUAGCCACUUACA